Anopheles funestus (African malaria mosquito) is the source of this 1583-nucleotide long non-coding RNA. RefSeq lists it as uncharacterized. The record is from RefSeq and is a predicted model, not a curated record. Lineage: Eukaryota; Metazoa; Arthropoda; Insecta; Diptera; Culicidae. The transcript has 3 exons.
CAUGGACAGGCCGAGGAGGAAAUAGUUCCGAUAGUUGACUUGGAAAUAGUUGACUUGGAGGGAAGACCGCUUCCGGUGUUUCCUUUUGAGCCGUGUUUUGCCUGGGUCAAACCUAUUCCGAGGUGUCCUGCUUAUGAACGUUACACAUGCUGCAGACCAUGUAUCGAGCCGGCGUGUCGUACGAGAAUCGUAUGUGUGAAAUGUCGCCCGUGUACUGCUGGUUGCGUUUGUAUAGAUGGCUACAUACGCUCUACGACUGGCGGAAGAUGUAUUCCAAUUGCUCAAUGCAGAAGAAUUGAAAUCUUUUUCUAAAGGAAUUUUCCUUGGCCCGAAUUGUUAUCAAUAAACUGAAGAAGUUUUCCUUCUAAUUGCAAAUGAAACAAAAAUGUUUAAAAGUGUCAACAUUAUUUUAUGAAACAUGUAAAGAAGUGUCAAGAAGUUCGAAAAAUCUAGAAUUCCAAACACACUAUCAUAAAAUUUUCCCACCAGGGGACUUGCCGGUUUUGUGGGGCUUCGUCGGUCGGAGAUUCCAUGCCUAUAACCAGUAAAAAUAAGCUUCCUACUCAGUCUCCGCCUCCUAAGGAUUUCGCUGCAAGAACAGUACAGAAAAUUCAAGGUUAUUCCAGAAAUGUUCUACGACAACUCCCGCGUUCUGAAAUCAUAUGACUCCCCGGUCAGUCCUGGUGAAGUCCAUUAAAAUACAUCUCUGAUUUUAAAUGGUCGUCAGUGCGACCAUCUUUAGUUUGGGGCCCCAACUACCAUUCUACUUCUAGACUCCGUGAAGCUUGAUCCGCCACUGAUCAAACACCUCACUUCAUUAUUCCACGUUGGAAUUGUUUGUCCAACAGGAAAUGUAGAAUAUCUGGGGUUUCUAUUUCUUUUUAAAAAGACUAUAUAAAUAUUAUUGUCUUAGAAAGACUAACAACAUAAGCAACCAUUUUCGCCAUAUUGUUUGUACAUACGGGGUUUCUAGGGUGCGCUUGUGAUAUAUAAGCGAUGGCACACAGUCUUUGGUCUUACUGACUUUGGUUUUACUGAGCUGAUUUCAUUACCUCAGUAUGAAGCAUUCUGUAGCAUUCUUUCUGUUGAUCGUGAUGAUUGUACUUAACCAAGUACAUGGGCAGAUCUUGGGAGGAAACGAUCUUGUUAACGAACCGUGUUUUGACUUGAUAAAAAUAAUUCCCAGCUGUCCCGCUAAUGAACGUUACACAUGCUGCAAACCAUGCCCCGAGCCAGCCUGUCGUUUUACAAAAAAACCUUUAUGUCCCGUGCCAUGCAUUCGUGGUUGUGUUUGUUUGAAAGGUUACAUCCGCAUCACUUCUGGUGGAAAAUGUAUAAAAGUUGCCGCUUGUCAAAAGAUCGACAUUCUUCUCGCAUAGACAGGCUUAAAUGUGAAACGGUUCGGUUGAUUGCGAAUGGUAUGAUGCCCGUUUUAUUAUCAAUGCCCUAAUGUUGUGUUCGUUGUAUUUUCAAGUUGAAAUAAAAAUUUUGAGAAGUGCGCAAAAUUAUUGUAUUCGUUUAUGUCUACCAAUAUCGGAGGUAAACGGCGCCGGUUCUAUACUACAGGACCGGAUAUCCUGUAA